Long non-coding RNA from Salmo trutta (river trout), 3060 nucleotides. The record is from Ensembl. Lineage: Eukaryota; Metazoa; Chordata; Actinopteri; Salmoniformes; Salmonidae.
CGAGGAUAACGGAACUGAGCCUUUUACUAAAAUGUUUUAUGAGUUGGAGAACACAUUGGGAGGGAUCGUAGACCAUCCCUCCAUACAGAAUCAUUCCAGAUCCUUUAUAUUCUUGGUAUGUGCUUAUAGACUGCCCUCUUCAAUUCAUAACACAGGUUUCCAAUGUGCUUUAAGUCCGGAGACUACGAUGGCCAUUGCAAAAUGUGGAUUUUGUGGCUGAUAAACCAUUUCUUUGUGGAUUUUAAUGUGUGGUUGAAGUUAUUGUCUUGCUGGAAGAUCCACUUAGAUUCUCCCAGUUCACCCCUCCUCUCCCCUUCCAUACACUGUCAAUCACGCUACUCCUGACAACAUGGACACAAUAUGAUGAGUUAAACCAGGCAACUGGCUGCUCGAACUUCCCAGAAUGUAUUUUCUCCCCAUUCAAAAAACUGUAGACAGAGACUGCUUACAAAACAGACAAACUUUCUCUUCAACUGGGCUUCAGGCACAAAGUCUGGAUGAAUGAAUAAGACUCUGCAGGGUUAUGAGCAAAGUGAAAAUGGACCAGUUGUGUGAGCUGCUGGACUUCAUCCGCUAACCCGCCUCUCCUAUCCCUCCAUAGUUCCAUGGACACCUUUCAGAGACAUGGAUGUGAGGAUGGCUGGCGGUAUCAUGGGUGGGAUGCUGCUGCUGUUAGUGACCACCCUGUUCCUGCUGAUCCGAUGGGCCAAGAGGAGGAGGAGGAGACAGAGACAAAACCCGGCCGGACGAGGGGCUGUCGCCCUGGGGAAACACCUCAAAGUGGUGAACUCGGGCCGGCCCAUGAUCCCCCUGGUCGAGGAGGUCUCCUACCAGAACGAAGGGUUCAGCAUAGACUAUGAGGCCUCGGGAGGUUCCGGAAGCCUCCUUGGGAGACAUGGGAUCUACACCAGGAAACAGUCGCUGAUCCCGCCACCGCCACGCUGCCACAGCAGCCAUCCAGACUGCGGUUCCAGUACCGUAACAGGUGACAUGCUGCCUAUACUGGUGAUGCCAGAGCCCCUGGUUAAAGACCUCACUCCCUCCCUCAUCUCCAAUGGCAGGAAAGGUGACAGCACCAUCAGCACAGGGGCUGUGACAAAAGACGAGACGGAGAGGAAUAAGCAGAGGGAUAUGGAGAAAGAGGAGGAGAGGGAAUGGGAGAAGCAGUGGGAACGCGCUGUUGGCACAAAAGAGAAGAGAAAUUCUGAGGGGGAAAGGACGGAUAUGUCGAGAGAUGUUUUGGGUGCUUCUAGUGAGACCGCAGAUGUAAGCGAGGCCCCUGAGGACCAAACAAACCCAGAAAAGCCUCAGAGCCAGAGGAUGAAAACACACCAAAUCAGAGAACCCAAAGACGGGCACAAAAGCACUUCUGAAGAGUCGUCUGAGGCAGAAAAAUCAAUAUUAGACUAUGCACUCUGAUCGGUCUUUCAGACGAUUAUGACAUAGCCUCGGAGGACGACCAGGUCCCGUUACUCCAGUAUCAGGACGUCAAGGGGGGAAAUGCAGCGCAAGGGCUCAGCGAAACAAACCAGCGAUCAAGCAAACAGCUGACCAAGUAACCCACAUAUGCACCAUUCAGACUCACACUCUGGGCUUCAGACUCACAUUGAAGAUACAAAAUAACUAACGAUUUAUUUAAAAAUAAAACUGACAUUAUGGAGCCAAACGAACUCUGUACACAGACAAAAAUGUAUAUAAAUUGUUUUUUCUCUCUCCAAUUCCAUAUGAUUAUGUUGGGCCUAAAUGAGCUCAACAACUUUUCAGGUCUUGAAUGAGUAAAUGGACGUAUGUAAAUCUGAGAACAAAAACAUGUGUUUUCUGAAAAACUGUGUGGGACCAGCCUUAAUGCGAAUGAAGCCAUUCUGUAUUGCUUUAAUUUGCAGUGUUAAAGGACUAGUAUUUCAGGAAUUAAAGUCAAAAUCUAAGCGCAUGCAAUGUAACUACAGUGUUGGGGAAGCUACUCUGAAAAUAUAGCUUACCAAAGCCAUCAAUUACUUCCCACUGGAAGAAGUUAAGCUACACUAAAGUUACCCUUAUGAAAAAUAUAGUUACUUAGCUAAAGUUAAUUUGAAAAAGUAGUUCACUACAUCCAAACUACUUAGGUAAAAAUGAUCAUAUCUAAAUCUGAAAUGUCAUAGACUACAUGUUUGACGGUGGGGAUGGUAUUCUUGGGGUCAUAGGCAGCAUUCCUCCUCCUCCAAACAGUUGAGUUGAUGCCAAAGAGCUCCAUUUUGGUCUUAUCUGACCACUACACUUUCACCCAGUUGUCCUCUGAAUCAUUCAGAUGUUCAUUGGCAAACUUCAGACGGGCAUGUAUAUGUGCUUUCUUGAGCAGGGGGACCUUGCGGGUGCUGCAGGAUUUCAGUCCUUCACGGCAUAGUGUGUUACCAAUUGUUUUCUCGGUGACUAUGGUCCCAGCUGCCUUGAGAUCAUUGACAAGAUCCUCCCGUGUAGUUCUGGGACUGAUUCCUCACCGUUCUCAUGAUCAUUGCAACUCCACGAAGUGAGAUCUUGCAUGGAGCCCCAGGCCGAGGGAGAUUGACAGUUCUUUUGUGUUUCUUCCAUUUGCGAAUAACCGCACCAACUGUUGUCACCUUCUCACCAAGCUGCUUGGCGAUGGUCUUGUAGCCCAUUCCAGCCUUGUGUAGGUCUACAAUCUUGUCCCUGACAUCCUUGGAGAGCUUUUUGGUCUUGGCCAUGGUGGAGAGUUUGGAAUCUGAUUGAUUGAUUGCUUCUGUGGACAGGUGUCUUUUAUACAGGUAACAAGCUGAGAUUAGGAGCACUCCCUUUAAGAUUGUGCUCCUAAUCUCAGCUCGUUACCUGUAUAAAAGACACCUGGGAGCCAGAAAUCUUUCUGAUUGAGAGGGGGUCAAAUACUUAUUUCCGUCAUUAAAAUGCAAUCAAUUUAUAACAUUUUUGACAUGCGUUUUUCUGGAUUUUUUUGUUGUUAUUCUGUCUCUCACUGUUCAAAUAAACCCACCAUUAAAAUUAUAGACUGAUCAUUUCUUUGUCAGUGGGCAAACGUACAUAAUCAGCAGGGGAUCAAUUACUUUUUUCCCU